This 450-nucleotide ribosomal RNA is filed under the name uncultured bacterium. RNAcentral's name for it is "partial 16S ribosomal RNA". It matches the Rfam family "Bacterial small subunit ribosomal RNA", at positions 338 to 795 of the family's 1533-position model. The record is from RNAcentral.
CCUACGGGUGGCAGCAGUGAGGAAUAUUGCGCAAUGGCCGAAAGGCUGACGCAGCGACGCCGCGUGAGGGAUGAAGUCCGUUAGGAUGUAAACCUCUUUUGCAGGGGAUGAAUGUCUCGCUAUACGCGGGAUUGACCGUACCCUGCGAAUAAGGAUCGGCUAACUACGUGCCAGCAGCCGCGGUAAUACGUAGGAUCCGAGCGUUGUCCGGAAUUACUGGGUGGAGUGGGUGGGUUCGUAGGUCCCUAGGGGAAUCCCGCAGCUUAACUGCGGAAUUGCCUUCGAGACUGGGGAUCUUGAGUACGGCAGAGGGAGAUGGAAUUCAUGGUGUAGCGGUGAAAUGUGUAGAUAUCAUGAAGAACACCGGUAGCGAAGGCGGUCUCCUGGUCCGUAACUGACACUGAUGCGCGAAAGCGUGGGGAGCGAACAGGAUUAGAUACCCGGGUAGUC